AACCCAUGUUGAGGGCACUUUCACAAAAGAUCCAUGAACCGUUCCCAUGUCUCAAACAAGGAUUCUAGCUCCAUUUGAACAUAUGAAGAGAUUUCAUUGCGAAGCUU
This is a small nucleolar RNA of Dioscorea cayenensis subsp. rotundata (Guinea yam), 107 nucleotides long. The record is from RefSeq and is a predicted model, not a curated record. Lineage: Eukaryota; Viridiplantae; Streptophyta; Magnoliopsida; Dioscoreales; Dioscoreaceae.